GAUUGAACGCUGGCGGCAGGCUUAACACAUGCAAGUCGAGCGGAGAUGAGGUGCUUGCACCUUAUCUUAGCGGCGGACGGGUGAGUAAUGCUUAGGAAUCUGCCUAUUAGUGGGGGACAACAUUCCGAAAGGAAUGCUAAUACCGCAUACGCCCUACGGGGGAAAGCAGGGGAUCUUCGGACCUUGCGCUAAUAGAUGAGCCUAAGUCGGAUUAGCUAGUUGGUGGGGUAAAGGCCUACCAAGGCGACGAUCUGUAGCGGGUCUGAGAGGAUGAUCCGCCACGCUGGGACUGAGACACGGCCCAGACUCCUACGGGAGGCAGCAGUGGGGAAUAUUGGACAAUGGGCGGAAGCCUGAUCCAGCCAUGCCGCGUGUGUGAAGAAGGCCUUUUGGUUGUAAAGCACUUUAAGCGAGGAGGAGGCUACCUGGAUUAAUACUCUAGGAUAGUGGACGUUACUCGCAGAAUAAGCACCGGCUAACUCUGUGCCAGCAGCCGCGGUAAUACAGAGGGUGCGAGCGUUAAUCGGAUUUACUGGGCGUAAAGCGUGCGUAGGCGGCUGAUUAAGUCGGAUGUGAAAUCCCUGAGCUUAACUUAGGAAUUGCAUUCGAUACUGGUCAGCUAGAGUAUGGGAGAGGAUGGUAGAAUUCCAGGUGUAGCGGUGAAAUGCGUAGAGAUCUGGAGGAAUACCGAUGGCGAAGGCAGCCAUCUGGCCUAAUACUGACGCUGAGGUACGAAAGCAUGGGGAGCAAACAGGAUUAGAUACCCUGGUAGUCCAUGCCGUAAACGAUGUCUACUAGCCGUUGGGGCCUUUGAGGCUUUAGUGGCGCAGCUAACG
This 836-nucleotide ribosomal RNA is filed under the name uncultured Pseudomonadota bacterium. Its description in RNAcentral is "bacterial SSU rRNA". It matches the Rfam family "Bacterial small subunit ribosomal RNA", at positions 27 to 857 of the family's 1533-position model. The record is from RNAcentral. Lineage: Bacteria; Pseudomonadati; Pseudomonadota.